GACGAACGCUGGCGGCGUGCUUAACACAUGCAAGUCGAACGGGAUUUCGUAGACAGCAGCCUCGUCUAAAGAUUACUAAUGAGAGUGGCGAACGGGUGAGUAACGCGUGAGCCACCUUCCUAUGGCAGUGGGAUAGCCUCUGGAGACCGGGAUUAAUACCUCAUAAAAUCGUAGAAACACAUGUUUUAACGGGCAAAGAUUUAUGGGUCAUAGAUGGGCUCGCGUCUGAUUAGCUAGUUGGUGAGAUAACAGCCCACCAAGGCGACGAUCAGUAGCCGGUCUGAGAGGGUGAACGGCCACAUUGGGACUGAGCCACGACCCAAACUCCUACGGGAGGCAGCAGUUGGGAAUAUUGCACAAUGGGGGAAACCCUGAUGCAGCGACGCCGCGUGAACGAAGAAGGUAUUCGUAUCGUCAAGUUCUGUCCUAUGGGAAGAUAAUGACAGUACCAUAGAAGAAAGCUCCGGCUAAAUACGUG
Molecule: ribosomal RNA, 478 nt
Filed under: uncultured bacterium
Lineage: Bacteria
Description: partial 16S ribosomal RNA
Rfam family: Bacterial small subunit ribosomal RNA
Source: RNAcentral